GGGAAAUGAAAUAAUAACGCUGACCAUUUGUGGAGCACAUUCUGUCUGGAGGCAAAGGAUGCCAAGAUGGGAAAGCCACAUAAUGGAAGGAUCCUGGAUUUCAGAGCUGUCACUUGGAGGAGGGGCACCCAGUGAAGGUGUCUUAUCUAACCCACACCAUAUCUUCAUGAAGUGGCCAUAUGGAUUUGAUCCCUAUCCUUCAGAGGUGCUCAGCCUAAGGGAACACGGAUAGUAGAUUAAGCACUGACCAGAGCCAGCCUUGACAAUGUGCUGAUGGCAACCUAGAACAUAAGCAGAGGAGUAUACAGGACAAGAACUUGAUGGUCUCGGGAAAAUGGACAACAUGACUCAGGUGAAAAAGAUUGAUCAUCAGAUGUUUCUUAUGUAUCAACCUGAUAUUUAAAUCCAUGAAGGACAGAGACGACAAAGGCAGGUGGAAUAGAUAGAGAAGAGAUUCAAGGUCUGAGCUCUACAUUACUCAAACUGUUAGAGAUUAGG
This 498-nucleotide long non-coding RNA is filed under the name Homo sapiens (human). RNAcentral's name for it is "non-protein coding PROX1-AS1:48". The record is from RNAcentral. Lineage: Eukaryota; Metazoa; Chordata; Mammalia; Primates; Hominidae.